Molecule: non-coding RNA, 48 nt
Filed under: unclassified sequences
Description: uup RNA
Rfam family: uup RNA
Source: RNAcentral
ACAGAAUCAGCUCUGUACAAUCCAUCCCGAUGAAACAUUGUGCAGAGC